CUUCUCUGUUCCCCUAAGGGAGUUUCCCAGCAGAGGUGUGAGUUGCUUCUCUGCUCCACUCUGCAAAGAGAGUUUCUCAGCAGAGAUUCUGCUUCAUGCUGGUGAAAGAAGAUCUUUACCCAAAACUCUUUCAAGAGAUUUAAUUUGGGAAAGAGGAAUCCAGGAGAGUGGUUGCUUAUGUCAGGGUGAAGAAGGACAGCAGCCUACUGAAAAGUAUGUCAAGAGCAACUAAGCUUGGUGAGCUGUCACAGUCGUCAUGACGGGAUUAGAAUCUCUGCUUUUCUGAUCCUGUGGCUCCUGUCAUGGCAUUCCUGAGAAACAGGGGAGCACCAGGAGAGGAAUGUUCCACCCCCGCCUUUGAGGAUGCUACAAUCCAGUAUAUUCCACAAGGGAAAGUUUGGAGAGACCAGCAUCAUCGUUGGUAAAGUCACAUUGGUAAAACAAGAACCUAGGCCAGGCCAGAGACUAUCCCAGGAAUCACCUACAGCAAACUUGGUGGCAUCUAGACAGGAGAUCCUCAUGGAGACACUAAAACAGAAUUCCUAGGAUGGCUAUGAAGAUUCAGUAACAUCGUAUGUGUAAAGGACAUGGUGGAAAGUAUGUGCUCAAUCCAUUUCACAUAGAGGGAUACUCCCUCAGCCUAGACACUUGGGGAGGGCCUAGACCCUGUCCCAAAGGAUAUGACCGAUUCUGAAGAUGCC
Molecule: long non-coding RNA, 701 nt
Filed under: Cricetulus griseus (Chinese hamster)
Lineage: Eukaryota; Metazoa; Chordata; Mammalia; Rodentia; Cricetidae
Description: lncRNA (ENSCGRG00015043412.1)
Source: RNAcentral